Molecule: ribosomal RNA, 255 nt
Filed under: uncultured bacterium
Lineage: Bacteria
Description: partial 16S ribosomal RNA
Rfam family: Bacterial small subunit ribosomal RNA
Source: RNAcentral
UACGGGGGGAGCAAGCGUUGUUCGGAUUUACUGGGCGUAAAGGGCGCGUAGGCGGCGUGACAAGUCACUUGUGAAAUCUCCGGGCUUAACUCGGAAACGGUCAAGUGAUACUGUCGUGCUAGAGUACAGAAGGGGCAACUGGAAUUCUCGGUGUAGCGGUGAAAUGCGUAGAGUAUCAGGAGGAACACCGGUGGCGAAGGCGGGUCUCUGGGCCGUAACUGACGCUGAGGAGCGAAAGCGUGGGGAGCGAACAGG